UACGGGGGGGGGCAAGCGUUGUUCGGAAUUACUGGGCGUAAAGGGCUCGUAGGUGGCCAACUAAGUCAUACGUGAAAUCCCUCGGCUUAACCGGGGAACUGCGUCUGAUACUGGAUGGCUUGAGUUCGGGAGAGGGAUGCGGAAUUCCAGGUGUAGCGGUGAAAUGCGUAGAUAUCAGGAAGAACACCCGUGGCGAAAGCGGCUCUCUGGAACGGUACUGACGCUGAGACGCGAAAGCGUGGGGAGCGAACAGG
Molecule: ribosomal RNA, 254 nt
Filed under: uncultured bacterium
Lineage: Bacteria
Description: partial 16S ribosomal RNA
Rfam family: Bacterial small subunit ribosomal RNA
Source: RNAcentral